UACAGAGGGGGCAAGCGUUAUUCGGAUUUAUUGGGCGUAAAGGGCGCGUAGGCGGCCUGGCAAGUGGAGGGUGAAAUCUCUCGGCUUAACCGAGGAACUGCCCUCCAAACUGCUUGGCUUGAGUCCGGGAGAGGUGAGUGGAAUUCCCAGUGUAGCGGUGAAAUGCGUAGAUAUUGGGAGGAACACCAGUGGCGAAGGCGGCUCACUGGACCGGAACUGACGCUGAGGCGCGAAAGCGUGGGGAGCAAACGGG
This 253-nucleotide ribosomal RNA is filed under the name uncultured bacterium. RNAcentral's name for it is "partial 16S ribosomal RNA". It matches the Rfam family "Bacterial small subunit ribosomal RNA", at positions 524 to 776 of the family's 1533-position model. The record is from RNAcentral.